CUGAACCAAUUCUUACAGAAUCAAGCAAAAUCAGGAUGAACUGCACGGAUUCCAACUAAUCUCAGGAUGGCUUAGGACCUCCACACAGAACCUUCAGAAAAGCUUCCACGCUGAGCCUCUUGAGAAGUCAAAAAUCUCUAAUCACCACAGAGAAGGCAAAAGUUAAGCCACAGAUAUAAUUCACAGCUGUUUGAAGGCAUCCUCAACACAUUUCAUAAUUCAUAACAGAGGUUUCACUAAUCUGAAAAAAUCAUGGUAAAAUCAAUGGAAGAGUCAAACAGAAAAAUGAGCUAUGUCAUGACUUUGUCAAAAGAAUCCUGCACUCCCGCAUUAACCAUGCCAUGUGACCCCAGGAGGAAGGCCCCUCCUAGGAAGGAAGAUGAAAAAGUAAAGUCACUUGAGUGUACAACUCUUCAUCCAGAAGUCUUCCCUCUACGGUUUCUGAAGGUCUUCAGGUUUAUAUGAAAGGAACUCCAGUUGAUAUAUAUCAGCACUAUGUUGAUCCAGUUCAUGUUUGAAAUAAAAUGUUCUAACAACAAAGCAAAGACAAGACAAACAAAUC
Capra hircus (goat) is the source of this 562-nucleotide long non-coding RNA. The record is from Ensembl. Lineage: Eukaryota; Metazoa; Chordata; Mammalia; Artiodactyla; Bovidae.